This 3899-nucleotide long non-coding RNA is filed under the name Triticum aestivum (bread wheat). RNAcentral describes it as "long non-coding RNA (TAES_LNC005368)". The stretch from base 2162 to 2290 matches the Rfam family "MIR1120/MIR1122 microRNA precursor family". The record is from RNAcentral. Lineage: Eukaryota; Viridiplantae; Streptophyta; Magnoliopsida; Poales; Poaceae.
UGAAUCUGAGACCCAACCCAAAUAACACCAGCUUCAUCCCCACAUCUCCUCCGCCGCCACCCUCUCGCGCCACCCCCCGUCCCUGCCGCCGGCGGUGAUAGCUCCGACGCCGACCUCCGUCCGCCCGCCGCCCUAACCCCCGCCCUCGACCACAUCCCCCGACCUCGAGCUCCACAUCCCCGGCCCCUGCUUCUGCCACCGCCGCCCCUUUUCUCUCCCGCAAAGACCCUUGUCCAGAUCUAUCAGCCGCAGGCCCGUUUCAUUGGUGGGCAGCCGGUGGCCUUCGAGGUGCGUUCCCCGUCAUGUGCUAGGUGCCACACGCCUGGUCGCUGGUCGUCCUCAGAAUAGCUGUCGGCUCUCUCCCUCCUUCAUGUACGCAGGCCAGAUGAACUGUUCUUUGCUAGGUAAAGGGUCGAUGAUGGCAUCCGCAGUUGUUCUUCCAAACACGAGCAACAUCCUGUGUCUCUCAUAGAUCGACCUGCUAGUUUGCUUCAACUUGUGAGCUGUAUUGUUGGUAUCUACGUUGGAGUGAUUGAACAUGUCAUUAGUCUGAACCUAAACUGAUCCCUGCUUAGUUAGUCAGUCCCUUUGUUUAAGAUUAGGCUGUGGCAUUACGAAGGUUACUUGUUGGAUCUGUGGUGCUACUGAGAAGUGCACAAUCCAACCUUAUUUUAUUUCAGUUUCUAAUUUGUUGGUCAGAUCGAUGACUACAGGGAUGGGUUACUUCAAAUUUCUGAAUUAUAAGAUUGCAAGUUUCUGAAAUGUCGGUCUAGAUUGCAUGUGUAACCAGCUAUACAGAUGAUAUUGCUAGAAUUAGUAAAAAAUCUAGAGUACCACUUUUCUCGUAGCCCUUGGAUAAAAUUCAUAGAUUAUGGUGGACAAAUUAGUAGCCCUUGGAUAAAGUGGUAUGAUUGGAAAUAACCUGAACCCGCCUUCUUCAUGUGCGCUACCAGUACAUACAUAGCGGUAAAAAUCUCCCCCGGCCGUGUGCUAUGUCGCUUGAGGCUCGACCAGUUUCUCUGCUUAAGCGACACCACCCAAGAUCCUACUAAAUUGAUCUUGCUCAACUAAUCUGUCUACCAUAAUCUAUGAACUUUUCAUCAGCGUCCGUCAUGCGUCUCUUGCGAGGGAAAAAGAACAGAUCGGUGGUGUUUGGGAAAGGAUGACAUGCAAGCGCUUUGCGCAUAGUGAGAUAACAGAUCCAGACCCAUUUACUUUGUUCUUCCCAUAAUAGUUCUCCAUAGACUCCGGUGCUUAUCAUUGAAUCUUCACUUUUUUCUUUGUUCCCAUAUGGUUGCAGACAGGCCUGACGGCUGAAGCUAGUUUGAUUGGUGCGUUCCUAGCAAGACUGAUGUGUUGCGCUUCACAUCUGGGCAUGAAUGUGUGUAUCUCUAUCUUCUUUUAUUAACCGGUGAGUCUGUAUAGUGGGGUUUGCGUCGUCCUACAACUUUUGAUAAACAAACUUUCAAUAAUCCUUACUUUUUAGUAGCUGUCUAAAUAAAAUGUUUGUACUCCAUCUGUCCCGAAUUACUUAUCUUCAAUUUUUCUAGAUACUGAUGAAUCCAACACUAUCUAAAACAAGUAAAUUGGGAAGGAGUUAAUAUUAUUUUUGACAUUUUGGUUUUGCAGCUACAACUUUAAUGAGUAAUGUGUUUAAGUUUUUCAGUUACCGGCAGAUGUGAUAAAUAUUUCCAAUUAUUAUGAUGCAUCUAAUUCAGAUCUGUAAGUUUGAUCUCAAGGGUGAUAAAUUGUAAACCAUGUUGUUUAAUUUUCUUUACUUGUAUUAAAAUUUCCUCUUUCUAGUUUACUCUAUGUAUAUGUGGUCUUCUAAAUAGAGGGCAGGCCUGGCGCAGUGGUGAAGUCCUCCCCACUUGUGCCAAGAGGUCCUGGGUUCGAACCAGCCUCUCUGCAUUGCACUUUGCAGGGGUAAGACUAGGUUCCUAUAAUCCCUCCCCAGACCCCACCUUGUGUGGGAGCUUCUAUGCACUGGGUCUGUCCUUUAUAUGUGGUCUUCUAAAUAAUACUUCAAUUCAGUCACAUAUUUUCAAUGCCAACGGCAACAGGUAACAAAGGUAUGUGCGACAUGUAGUUGUAGCAUUACUAUGGCAGUGUGCGUGAAAGCAAGAUACUAUUUUUAUAACAACAUUUACUUUACCGUUGUGAUGUACUCCCUCCGUCCCAAAAUAAGUGACUCAACUUUGUACUAGCUCUAGUACAAAGUUAGUACUAAGUUGAGUCACUUAUUUUGUACAAAGUUGAGUCACUUAUUUUGGGACGGAGGGAGUACUAAUUUAGGAACUUUAGUAUCCUCUAUUUUUUAUUGGUGUUCAAUUUAUAAUACCCUAUUUGUUUGGGUUUACAAGUUUCACUAGUUUCUAUUGACUUGCUCAGUUAUAUUGAUAUAACCAAACUGAAAAAAAAUUGAAAGUGUCUUGGAAUAAAUCUAUAUAAUUGUUUACUGUUUAUAUUUUGAAAAAAGGUUAUUGUUUGAUAAAAAUGAGUUUAUCCUGGAGUCUUUUCAUCAGUUUUCACAUAUUAACAUAGUAGGACUAACUAUAUUAAAGAAUCAACUUGAUCAUAAUUUAUUUUCUGAGGUCCUUUUGAGCCAUGAGAUAUUGAAAAUAGUUAAUUAAAUCAUUGCACUGGAUAUAGAAGUUAUGAUUUAUGCCAUCAAACGAAGGUAUACUUAGAGACAUGCCAACUAUUUCUUUUUUGCACGGGAGAAAUAAACCUUGAUCGCAUGGUGCACGCAACCUAAGUGGAUGCACCACAUUAGCCGGUGCGUACAAAUAAUGUUCGUUCAGUUUUCAUCAUUAAACAACAAUGCCAUGAGUAUCAUCUCAGUUGUAUGCUACUAAAAUAUUUCUAAAUUCUGUAAUUUCUAAGUAUAUACUAACACAUUCAUGAAAACGAUGGUAGCUAGCCUGUGUAGGGUUGAUGACUAGUGGCAUAAACUAAAUUGCACAUCCUACAGUUUUUUGGUCUGAAGUUGUACAUAUUAGUUCUACUUCAUCAGAUAACGUGCAAACACAAUUAUUUUUGAACUUUGAAGUAGGUAAAAUGGUUAUGGGUCACCCACACAUAUUCCUCAUAUGUACACAUGAGUAACAAUCACAUGUUUGUAGUCCCAUUCAGUUGGGACAUAUGAGAAUUUGACCCAUAGCCUCCAUAUUUGAGCUAACUUCGUAUUAGAACAAGUACAACUUUACACUGGCUGAUCCCACUACAGUUUCUUCCAUGUAAGAGGUUGAAUAGAAUCUGUAGAUAUGCCUGCCAUGGAGAAAUGCUUACUCUAUGUAUAUGUAGAUAUGUCUGCAUGAUGAUUCCUUUCAGCAUUUUAAAAAUAUUUUACAUCACAUAUGGCAGAACUAUGUUAUAUGUGUUCUGGGCAUAUGUCAUGAAUACUCUUGUGCUUCUCUUGGCUGCCAAUCUCCCUAUGAGCUUCGAAUAACUCGAGCUGACUGCACUUUCUACCAAAUUCUUGUGUAAUAUUUUCAGGUAAUCAGCCACCUAGUAUUCAUGGAUGUGAUGACUUUGGAGUGUUAUGGAGCAUUUGGUUGACUGCAGUAUUUUGGAUCAGCCAACUUAAUUGUAAUCAUGAAUCUUAUGUGUGUUCUGGACCAUUUGGUGUUCAAGUGAUAUGGAGUAGAAAUCCCGUGGAUGUGACUUAAGUGUUUGGACCAUUUAUAGUUUGAACUCUUUUAGACCAUCAAAUAAGGGUCCUUUUAUGUGACUUGUGUUUUCUAGAUGUUUGCCAAGAUGGCCAAACUUUGCUUUGUCAAGGUUGACUUGAGUUUGAAUCUGUGAUCAAUGAUUGUGCAAUAUGUGUUCUUGAUCUUGUGUGUGGAUAAGAGGUGAACAUUGUAUAACAAUUGAAUCGGAGCAAUAGCCAAUUGUAG